This 497-nucleotide ribosomal RNA is filed under the name uncultured bacterium. Its description in RNAcentral is "partial 16S ribosomal RNA". It matches the Rfam family "Bacterial small subunit ribosomal RNA", at positions 28 to 507 of the family's 1533-position model. The record is from RNAcentral.
GAUGAACGCUGGCGGCGUGCCUAAUACAUGCAAGUCGAGCGAACCGACGAGGAGCUUGCUCCUCUGAUGUUAGCGGCGGACGGGUGAGUAACACGUGGAUAACCUACCUAUAAGACUGGGAUAACUUCGGGAAACCGGAGCUAAUACCGGAUAACAUGUUGAACCGCAUGGUUCAACAGUGAAAGACGGUCUUGCUGUCACUUAUAGAUGGAUCCGCGCCGCAUUAGCUAGUUGGUAAGGUAACGGCUUACCAAGGCAACGAUGCGUAGCCGACCUGAGAGGGUGAUCCGCCACACUGGAACUGAGACACGGUCCAGACUCCUACGGGAGGCAGCAGUAGGGAAUCUUCCGCAAUGGGCGAAAGCCUGACGGAGCAACGCCGCGUGAGUGAAGAAGGUCUUCGGAUCGUAAAACUCUGUUAGUAGGGAAGAACAAAUGUGUAAGUAACUAUGCACGUCUUGACGGUACCUAAUCAGAAAGCCACGGCUAACUACGUG